UCUGGAGGCCCUUGUCAGGCACACGCGGCUGUCUCGUGGCUAAAUCAUAGGGAUAAGAAAUUUGGUUAUUUCUUAUCUCACAUUUUCAGAAGAGGACAAUGACAAGGCUGGAAGCGGUCCGGGUCAGUAAACCGGACAGCGAGAAAAAACGAGUAGAAACACAACAAAGUUUCACGAGCAAAUCGAAAGGCGGUGUUCCCCGGCGUUGCCGGCGGGCGCGAAAAGAUACAACGGAACGAAGCAAGGGCGCAUGGAGGAUGCCUUGGCUCUCGGAGGCGAUGAAGGACGUGACAAGCUGCGAAAAGCUGCGGGGAGUGGCAAAUACACCUAGAUCCGCAGAUGUC
Molecule: unclassified non-coding RNA, 344 nt
Filed under: uncultured bacterium
Lineage: Bacteria
Description: partial contains 16S ribosomal RNA, 16S-23S ribosomal RNA intergenic spacer, and 23S ribosomal RNA
Rfam family: Bacterial large subunit ribosomal RNA (bases 231-344)
Source: RNAcentral